CAUUAGAUACCCCACUAUGCCUGGCCCUAAAUCUUGAUGUUUCCCAUACAAAAACAUCCGCCCGAGAACUACGAGCACAAACGCUUAAAACUCUAAGGACUUGGCGGUGCCCUAAACCCACCUAGAGGAGCCUGUUCUAGU
RNAcentral lists this ribosomal RNA (141 nucleotides) under Nymphicus hollandicus (cockatiel). RNAcentral describes it as "partial small subunit ribosomal RNA". The record is from RNAcentral. Lineage: Eukaryota; Metazoa; Chordata; Aves; Psittaciformes; Cacatuidae.